This 118-nucleotide small RNA is filed under the name Marmota monax (woodchuck). Lineage: Eukaryota; Metazoa; Chordata; Mammalia; Rodentia; Sciuridae. The record is from RNAcentral.
GCUGGGCACAGUGACACAUGCCUGUAAUCCCAGCAGCUUGGGAGGCUGAGGCAGGAGGAUCGCAUCAGCCUCAGCAACUUCGAGAGGCCCUAGGAAACUCAGCCAGACUCUGUCUCUA